Molecule: long non-coding RNA, 403 nt
Organism: Salvelinus sp. IW2-2015
Lineage: Eukaryota; Metazoa; Chordata; Actinopteri; Salmoniformes; Salmonidae
Source: RefSeq, a predicted model, not a curated record
CAGCGUCGGUGAGACAUAUGAGGAAGAGACCCAUGACAAACCAAUAUCGCGGGCUGAAUUUUAUGCAAACCGCUUUGACUGCCUGGUCCACCUCAACGUGAUCCCCAGCUCUGAUGUCAGUACAGUGCAGAAACAGGUCUCUCAGUUGCUGAACACACCUCACAACGUCGGAUAUCUCACGCUAAUGGCUAACCCCCAGAGCAUCCAAGUGAACGCUGUAGAGGACUUCCCCCCUGCCACAGUCAUUCCUCCCAUUGUCAUGGCCACUGGAACCUCUUCUGACACAACCAAAGACCUUAGUGUCACGACUGGUGGCGAACUCUCAGACAUAUAUUUUGAGGUUGAUGUGAACGUGACCCUUACUGGGUUCUGUAUCCAUCCGGAACGGACUAUCAUUGCCUGG